CCGAGCGGCCAGAGAAACGGAGGAGCGGCUGUAGUAAGAGUGCGAUGAAGGACGAUGAAGGAUGGCUUAAUGCAGACCAGGAUGUGGACUUGUUUGCCUUGCACUGGUCUUACAUGCCACAACUUCAGAGGCAUCUGCAAGAAUUUCAGAGUGCCUGGAAUAGUCACAGUCUAAGAUCUGCAGGCAGCAGAACUCCUACUGCAGCUUUGGUCAAAUCAUGAGAAGGAAAACUCCAAUCAGAUUGACAUUGAUGUUGAAGUCAGGGAAGACUUACAAGGGCAACAAGCAGAAGGUGUUCAUGUUCCUGAGUUGGAUCUGCCUCGUGGCUUGAUCGUGCCAACUCUAGCAAAUCCAGAUCAGAUGCAUUUCUGCCA
Molecule: long non-coding RNA, 374 nt
Organism: Cyprinus carpio carpio
Lineage: Eukaryota; Metazoa; Chordata; Actinopteri; Cypriniformes; Cyprinidae
Source: Ensembl